GUCAAGUCCUCAUGGCCCUUAUGGGUAGGGCUUCACACGUCAUACAAUGGUCGGGACAGAGGGUCGCCAACCCGCAGGGGGAGCCAAUCCCAGAAACCCGAUCGUAGUCCGGAUUGCAGGCUGCAACUCGCCUGCAUGAAGUCGGAAUCGCUAGUAAUCGCGGAUCAGCAUGUCGCGGUGAAUACGUUCCCGGGUCUU
This 198-nucleotide ribosomal RNA is filed under the name uncultured Pusillimonas sp. RNAcentral's name for it is "partial 16S ribosomal RNA". It matches the Rfam family "Bacterial small subunit ribosomal RNA", at positions 1184 to 1382 of the family's 1533-position model. Lineage: Bacteria; Pseudomonadati; Pseudomonadota; Betaproteobacteria; Burkholderiales; Alcaligenaceae. The record is from RNAcentral.